UCAAGGCUCAUGAGCAUGAGCCUGGAUCAAGACGUGAGUCUUACCGCUCAUUCACUCUGGAGGCGGAUCCGCGUUCGCAAAGCGGUUGCGAACGCGGUUGUAGUAUAAAGAUCCAGUACAAUUGCACGCGCACUUGAUGCCAUCGAGUGCGCGUGCAGUUGUACUGGAUCUUUAUACAACCGCGUUCGCAACCGUUUUGCGAACGGAUAUCCGCUU
This 216-nucleotide non-coding RNA is filed under the name Ixodes scapularis (black-legged tick). The record is from RNAcentral. Lineage: Eukaryota; Metazoa; Arthropoda; Arachnida; Ixodida; Ixodidae.